Long non-coding RNA from Humulus lupulus (European hop), 719 nucleotides. RefSeq lists it as uncharacterized. Lineage: Eukaryota; Viridiplantae; Streptophyta; Magnoliopsida; Rosales; Cannabaceae. The record is from RefSeq and is a predicted model, not a curated record. The transcript is spliced from 2 exons.
AACUAUUAUCCGUAUUUUUAUAAUUAUUGUAAAAUUCUGUAGUUAAAAAAAUUAAAUUUACAGUGUGUAAUUUUUCCAAAAAAAACAAAAUAGUCCUUAUUGGGCCUUUUCAAAAGUUGACUGGAUUCAAAGGGUACAGUAGUAAGUCCAAUAUAGAUCAGCCCGGCCCAAUUGCUUCACGUCCAACAUGAGAAGUGAGAACCCUCUUACAGAAAAGCAAGAAAGCCGAGAAAAACCCUUGAUUUUGAGGGGGAAGAACUGAGAAAUGUUCGGUCGAAACAGAUUCCUCACUUUUCCUACGGUAAUUGGAGCAGUCCUGAUUGGAGUUGUUUCAGGCAAAGCAAUAUUUGGACCCCCACUUGAAGAGUACUGGAGAAAGAAGAUUGAGGAAGAGACAGCCGCAAAAGAAAAUGGCGGAAGUUCAACUUGAACAGUCAUGAAUGAAUUUCUUCAACUAUGGUCAUUUUCACCAAGACAAAGCACAGGCACCAUUGAAUCAUCCUUUAAUUUAUUUUUUUCCAACGCCAAAAUGCAUUGGAUGCACUGAUUGGCUAUUACUCGCAAUAGUUAAUCUCAAUGAUGAAAUGCUAUAGCAAUUUUUUAUUUUUUGUACAAUUCCACUCAAGUUGCAAAAAAAUUCAGCACAUGCUUUACUACUAUUCUCAUGAGGACUUGAAGCUUGAGAAGUUAUGCCAAUGAAUGAAAGAAUACCUUGUUAA